UACCUACGGGAGGCAGCAGUAGGGAAUAUUGCUCAAUGGGGGAAACCCUGAAGCAGCAACGCCGCGUGGAGGAUGAAGGUUUUCGGAUUGUAAACUCCUUUUGUUAGAGAAGAUAAUGGCGGUAUCUAACGAAUAAGCACCGGCUAACUCCGUGCCAGCAGCCGCGGUAAUACGGAGGGUGCAAGCGUUACUCGGAAUCACUGGGCGUAAAGAGCGCGUAGGCGGGGUAACAAGUCAGAUGUGAAAUCCUAUGGCUUAACCCUAGAACUGCAUUUAAAACUGUUUUUCUAGAGUAUGGGAGAGGG
RNAcentral lists this ribosomal RNA (305 nucleotides) under uncultured bacterium. Its description in RNAcentral is "bacterial SSU rRNA". It matches the Rfam family "Bacterial small subunit ribosomal RNA", at positions 335 to 658 of the family's 1533-position model. The record is from RNAcentral.